AUCUUCCGCAAUGGGCGAAAGCCUGACGGUGCAACGCCGCUUGAGCGAAGAAGGUCUUCGGAUUGUAAAGCUCUGUCUUUAAGAAAGAACACCUUAUAGAGGGAACGCUAUAAGAAUGACGGUACUUAAGUAGGAAGCACCGGCCAACUACGUGCAAGCAGCCGCGGUAAUACGUAGGGUGCAAGCGUUGUCCGGAAUUAUUGGGCGUACAGAGUGCGUAGGCUGCCCUUUAAGUCAGAUGUGAAAGCCCACGGCUUAACCGUGGGACUGCAUUUGAAACUGGAGGGCUUGAGUGUCGGAGAGGGCAGUGGAAUUCCCAGUGUAGCGGUGGAAUGCGUAGAUAUUGGGAGGAACACCAGUGGCGAAGGCGACUGCCUGGACGAUAACUGACGCUGAGGCACGAAAGCUAGGGGAGCAAAC
RNAcentral lists this ribosomal RNA (420 nucleotides) under uncultured bacterium. RNAcentral's name for it is "partial 16S ribosomal RNA". It matches the Rfam family "Bacterial small subunit ribosomal RNA", at positions 361 to 773 of the family's 1533-position model. The record is from RNAcentral.